UAAGACGAGGGAUCCUAGCGUUGUUCGGAAUCAUUGGGCGUAAAGAGGGCGUAGGUGGCUAUUUAAGUCAGUUGUGAAAGCCUGGGGCUCAACCCCAGAAGUGCAAUUGAUACUAUUUAGCUUGAGUGUGGAAAAGGUAACUAGAAUUCCUGGUGUAGUGGUAAAAUACGUAGAUAUCAGGAGGAAUGCCGGUUGCGAAGGCGGGUUACUAGUCCAACACUGACACUGAGGCCCGAAAGCGUGGGGAUCAAACAGG
RNAcentral lists this ribosomal RNA (256 nucleotides) under uncultured bacterium. RNAcentral's name for it is "partial 16S ribosomal RNA". It matches the Rfam family "Bacterial small subunit ribosomal RNA", at positions 521 to 776 of the family's 1533-position model. The record is from RNAcentral.